This 491-nucleotide ribosomal RNA is filed under the name uncultured bacterium. RNAcentral describes it as "partial 16S ribosomal RNA". It matches the Rfam family "Bacterial small subunit ribosomal RNA", at positions 28 to 506 of the family's 1533-position model. The record is from RNAcentral.
GAUGAACGCUAGCUACAGGCUUAACACAUGCAAGUCGAGGGGAAACGACAUCGAAAGCUUGCUUUUGAUGGGCGUCGACCGGCGCACGGGUGAGUAACGCGUAUCCAACCUGCCCAUCACUUGGGAAUAACCUUGCGAAAGUAAGACUAAUACCCAAUGAUAUCCCACGAAGGCAUCGGAAUGGGAUUAAAGAUUUAUCGGUGAUGGAUGGGGAUGCGUCUGAUUAGCUUGUUGGCGGGGUAACGGCCCACCAAGGCAACGAUCAGUAGGGGUUCUGAGAGGAAGGUCCCCCACAUUGGAACUGAGACACGGUCCAAACUCCUACGGGAGGCAGCAGUGAGGAAUAUUGGUCAAUGGGCGAGAGCCUGAACCAGCCAAGUAGCGUGCAGGAAGACGGCCCUAUGGGUUGUAAACUGCUUUUAUAAGGGAAUAAAGUGGGUCACGUGUGACUUUUGGCAUGUACCUUAUGAAUAAGGACCGGCUAAUUCCGU